Molecule: long non-coding RNA, 259 nt
Filed under: Suid alphaherpesvirus 1
Lineage: Duplodnaviria; Heunggongvirae; Peploviricota; Herviviricetes; Herpesvirales; Orthoherpesviridae
Description: CTO
Source: RNAcentral
GCGCCACAACCCGGAGCGCCGCCGUCGCCGCUGGAUCCCCCGGACCAGGAUCGUCGUGGGACCGCCGGAUCGUCGCCGCCGCGAGGACCGCGAGCCGAAACGCCGCCGGACCGCCGUCGCUCGGACCCGCCGUCCCGUCGAAUCCAGGCCCGCGGGCCCCCGGUCCACGGCGGCCGGAUCGCGGCCUCGGCGCGGCGCACCGGCGAGCGGCAGACACUUUAACUCUUGAACAAAGUUUUCAAUAAACCCGGGUACAACG